AGCCAUGUGGUGAGCACAGAGCGAACUAUUCUUUCGCCUUUUACUAAAGAAUACCGUGUGCUCGCCACGCUCAAUGGCAUACGCCUAUUUUUGGAGGGGCUUCUUCAACUGAGGAGGCU
Eucalyptus grandis is the source of this 119-nucleotide small nuclear RNA. RefSeq annotates it as U5 spliceosomal RNA. The transcript has a single exon. The record is from RefSeq and is a predicted model, not a curated record. NCBI's taxonomy places the organism in Eukaryota, Viridiplantae, Streptophyta, Magnoliopsida, Myrtales, Myrtaceae.